Molecule: long non-coding RNA, 486 nt
Filed under: Capsicum annuum
Lineage: Eukaryota; Viridiplantae; Streptophyta; Magnoliopsida; Solanales; Solanaceae
Description: long non-coding RNA (CANN_LNC016941)
Source: RNAcentral
AGAAUACUCAUUUAUUUGAAUCAUGAAUAGCAAAGACUUUGUUAUCAGUAUGCUUGUAGUAUCAUUGAUAGUUGUAUUAGUACAAACAAUCAGAUAUGCAUCAUUCUAGUGCAAAACUACAAAUGUGUGUCUCAGUCUGUUACAUUCAUAGUACUUGUAAUAAGAUCAAUAUAAGAAACACCUAUGUAACACUUGUACUGUUUCCCAGUUUGACACCGCCUUUGAUCAAUCAACCCCAAACUAGUACUAGCUCAUUUUCAGUAUUCAUCACUUAAACCAGAUCGAUUGAUCGUUUGCUGAACCAGAUCCAGUGUUGUUCACAUACUCAAUCAGACGGGUUGGCUUUACUGCAGUUGAAACAGAAACAAUGGUGUCGUUUUCAGUCCAUGGAUUGUGGAUGAAGGCAGUUACUCUUCCAUUUCUGCUUCUCAUCAUCAGCUGAGUUUGAUUCACAUAUUCAACCACAUGAAUAGGCUUCACUGCAGU